GGAUGAAGUGGAAAGACUUCAGUGAAAGUGCAAUGGAUGAAGUUUUCUACAUCAUCAUCGUUGAGUGGUUUCUCGCACUCACUGCAGCAUACUAUAUCGAUAAGAUUGUUUCAUCCGGAAAAGACCCCAUGUUCUUCUUGAAAAAACCUUUCAAGAAAUCCCCUUCUAUGCGGAAGCCUAGUCUGCAGAGGCAAGGCUCCAAAGUCUUCGUUGAAAUGGAAAAACCAGAUGUCGCUCAGGAGGUACGAAGACAAAUGGAUUCACCAUAUAUUUCAUGUUCUUGAUUAUUCAGGCUCUAACCAAAAAAUAAAAACUGUUAAAAUCAGAUAGAAAAGGUUGAGAAGUUGAUGCUUGAGGCUAGCACAAGCCAUGCCAUUGUUUGUGAUAACCUGAAGAAGGUGUACCCAGGUAGGGAUGGGAACCCACCAAAAAUGGCAGUGCGUGGAUUAUCCCUCGCUGUGCCUUCAGGAGAAUGUUUUGGCAUGCUAGGGCCUAACGGUGCUGGCAAAACCUCCUUCAUCAAUAUGGUCAGUACCCAAAUGGGAAAAAGCUUUUCUGUUUUAGUUUAGUUUAGAUUCUAAUCUUUGUAAUUGAUGUAAUAUGUACUGUUGUCUUUUCCUGACCAGAUGACUGGACUCCUGAAACCAACAUCCGGAACAGGGCUUGUCCAAGGCUCAAUACAGUUCUUACAUUAUGGUUUCUAAUAUAAAAUGUUUCCUCUCUCUAAGCUUGUUAUAUUUGCUGCUUCCUUGCAGGACUCAAGUUCUUUCGGCUUAAUGACUACAGUCUCCAAUUUGUUUUCUAUUUUCUUUAUGUAAAUCUGCAAAUCGCCCUUUGCUUUCUAGUUUCUUCAAUAUUUUCAAAGGUCAAAACAUCGACAGGUACAAACGUAAUUCUUGAAUUCGAUCAAGAACAUGUUGGAGGGUUUAGAGGAACUAACGGGAUUCCUGUUAUGUCUAAAUUAUAGUUGUUGCUUACAUAUACGUGUUUGGAUCUGGACUUUUGGGCACGUUUCUGUUCCAGUUUCUGAUUCAAGAUUCAUCAUUUCCUAGUAAGUUAUUGAGACUAAAACUUGAAGAGCAGUAUUUAGUACACUCGUUUAUGUGUUUAUUCUCACAACUUACUACGAUUGCAAAUCAACACUACUUUUACAGGAGGCUGGAUUAUUUUCAUGGAGUUGUAUCCUGGCUUCUCCUUAUACCGUGGCCUCUAUGAGUUCGCACAAUUUGCCUUCCAAGGAAACUUGAGAGGGGCAGAUGGGAUGAAGUGGAAAGACUUCAGUGAAAGUGCAAUGGAUGAAGUUUUCUACAUCAUCAUCGUUGAGUGGUUUCUCGCACUCACUGCAGCAUACUAUAUCGAUAAGAUUGUUUCAUCCGGAAAAGACCCCAUGUUCUUCUUGAAAAAACCUUUCAAGAAAUCCCCUUCUAUGCGGAAGCCUAGUCUGCAGAGGCAAGGCUCCAAAGUCUUCGUUGAAAUGGAAAAACCAGAUGUCGCUCAGGAG
Molecule: long non-coding RNA, 1501 nt
Filed under: Brassica napus (rape)
Lineage: Eukaryota; Viridiplantae; Streptophyta; Magnoliopsida; Brassicales; Brassicaceae
Description: long non-coding RNA (BNAP_LNC014134)
Source: RNAcentral